Molecule: long non-coding RNA, 1001 nt
Filed under: Theobroma cacao (cacao)
Lineage: Eukaryota; Viridiplantae; Streptophyta; Magnoliopsida; Malvales; Malvaceae
Description: long non-coding RNA (TCAC_LNC001208)
Source: RNAcentral
AAAGCAAGAACAAAGGAAGAAAAGGAAGAACCAAACCCUAGGUGGAAAAAUUCAAGGGAAAAGUGUGAAAAUUCAAGGAAACAAGUGAAAAAAAGGUAAGAUUUUUCAAUUAAGCUUGAGAUCUCUCUUUCUUAAGCAUUUUUUCUUAUUUUUCAUGGUUGAAUCACAUGAUUUCGUGAUGAAUCCCAUGCUGGCCGAACACUUAGAGGGAGGUUUUGAUGCUUGAUUUGGUUAGAUUUCAAUGUAUUUUAGUGUUUUUAGUUAGUUAGAGACGUGUAGUAUGAAAAGCCAACAAGAAAAAUUCACUUCCUCCCAUCACGCAUCAUUGGCCGAAUUCUCCAUGUAGAAUAUUGAUGAUGAUUUUGAUUUUAUUUCAAGUGAUUUGGUUAGGAAUUAGUGAUUUAUGGUGUGAAAAUCAAGCUUGAAAAAUUAUAGUGUUAAUGCACCCACCAUGGUCGAAUUUUCCAAGAGAAAAUGUGAGGAUGAUUUUGCCAUAUUUCAAGUUAUUUAAUUUGUGUUUGAUGAUUUAGAGUAUUGGGAGAAAAAUGGAAUUAUUUGGAGUUGAAUUGGACGUGUUGGCCAAUUAAUCGGGUGAUAGAUCGAAUUAGGCCAAUACCAUUUUAUUUGGGUACAUAACUAAAUUUAUAUUGAACACCAUAUUCAGAUAGUUACCCGAGUAUUUCACCUCCCAUUUUAUGCAUUAGUAUAGAGCCUGAAUUGGUUUUAUAACAAUUUACCACAAAUGUAGUAAAUGGCUUAUUGUGCAUUAUGUCUAGGUGGUGAGCAUUCUGACAAAAGUAAAGAGAUAGUACCCGACGAUCAAGAAUUGGAGUACUCGGAAUUCGACUCCCGAAAUAGUGAGUAACCUUACUAUCGUCUUAAUAAUCUAAUAUGGUUUUUAUCCGAUUUUGUGAUUUUAUGGAAAAUGAGUUAAAUGGUAAAUCUUUGUGUUUUGUAAUUAAAAUGUGAUUUAAUGAAAUGAUUUUAUAACAUUAUUUUUG